GUUCCUAUGGUCUAGUGGUUAUGACGCUUCGUUGUGGUUUAUAUCACAUGAUUACGUAGCAAUUACGUCAGCGCCGAAGCAGCCCGUGUUCGAUUCACGGUGGGGACA
Molecule: transfer RNA, 108 nt
Filed under: Rhizoctonia solani
Lineage: Eukaryota; Fungi; Basidiomycota; Agaricomycetes; Cantharellales; Ceratobasidiaceae
Description: tRNA-His
Source: RNAcentral